This 547-nucleotide ribosomal RNA is filed under the name uncultured bacterium. RNAcentral's name for it is "bacterial SSU rRNA". It matches the Rfam family "Bacterial small subunit ribosomal RNA", at positions 358 to 916 of the family's 1533-position model. The record is from RNAcentral.
GGAAUAUUGGGCAAUGGGCGAAAGCCUGACCCAGCGACGCCGCGUGCGGGAUGAAGGCCUUCGGGUUGUAAACCGCUUUCAGCAGGGAAGAAGCGAAAGUGACGGUACCUGAAGAAGAAGCACCGGCUAACUAUGUGCCAGCAGCCGCGGUAAUACAUAGGGUGCAAGCGUUGUCCGGAAUUAUUGGGCGUAAAGAGCUCGUAGGUGGUUCGUUACGUCGGAUGUGAAAACCUGAGGCUCAACCUCAGGCCUGCAUUCGAUACGGGCGAACUUGAGUGUGGUAGGGGAGGCUGGAAUUCCUGGUGUAGCGGUGGAAUGCGCAGAUAUCAGGAGGAACACCAAUGGCGAAGGCAGGCCUCUGGGCCACUACUGACACUGAGGAGCGAAAGCGUGGGGAGCAAACAGGAUUAGAUACCCUGGUAGUCCACGCUGUAAACGGUGGGCACUAGUUGUGGGAACCUUCCACGGUUUCUGCGACGUAGCAAACGCAUUAAGUGCCCCGCCUGGGGAGUACGAUCGCAAGAUUAAAACUCAAAUGAAUUGACGG